RNAcentral lists this transfer RNA (72 nucleotides) under Urocitellus parryii (Arctic ground squirrel). Its description in RNAcentral is "Spermophilus parryii (Arctic ground squirrel) tRNA". It matches the Rfam family "tRNA". From Rfam's summary of the family: Transfer RNA (tRNA) molecules are approximately 80 nucleotides in length. Their secondary structure includes four short double-helical elements and three loops (D, anti-codon, and T loops). The record is from Rfam by way of RNAcentral. RNAcentral also lists the same sequence under 1 other name. Lineage: Eukaryota; Metazoa; Chordata; Mammalia; Rodentia; Sciuridae.
GGGGGUGCAGCCCAGUGGUAGAGCACGUGCUUGGCAUGCACAAGGCCCUGGGCUCGAUCCCCAGCACCAAUA